Molecule: transfer RNA, 73 nt
Filed under: Candidatus Omnitrophota bacterium
Lineage: Bacteria; Pseudomonadati; Candidatus Omnitrophota
Also listed under: 1 other name
Description: tRNA-Thr
Rfam family: tRNA
About the family: Transfer RNA (tRNA) molecules are approximately 80 nucleotides in length.
Source: RNAcentral
GCCCAGGUAGCUCAAUUGGCAGAGCAGAUGAUUUGUAAUCAUCAGGUUGAAGGUUCAACUCCUUUCUUGGGCU